CCUCGCUCUGACCUGCACCGCCGCCGUGGCGGGGCUGGCCCACACUAAACACUCCGACUGCUGCUCCUCCUGUCCUACAUGGCGAGGGAAUCCUGUGUGUGUGUGUGUGUGUGUGUGUGUGUGUGUGUGUGUGUGUGUGUGUGUGUGUGUGUGUGUGUGUGUGUGUGUGUGUGUGUGUGUGUGUGUGUGU
Portunus trituberculatus (swimming crab) is the source of this 190-nucleotide long non-coding RNA. RefSeq lists it as uncharacterized. The record is from RefSeq and is a predicted model, not a curated record. NCBI's taxonomy places the organism in Eukaryota, Metazoa, Arthropoda, Malacostraca, Decapoda, Portunidae. The transcript is spliced from 2 exons.